AGUGAACGCUGGCGGUAGGCCUAACACAUGCAAGUCGAACGGCAGCACAGUAAGAGCUUGCUCUUACGGGUGGCGAGUGGCGGACGGGUGAGGAAUACAUCGGAAUCUACUUUUUCGUGGGGGAUAACGUAGGGAAACUUACGCUAAUACCGCAUACGACCUACGGGUGAAAGCAGGGGAUCUUCGGACCUUGCGCGAUUGAAUGAGCCGAUGUCGGAUUAGCUAGUUGGCGGGGUAAGGGCCCACCAAGGCGACGAUCCGUAGCUGGUCUGAGAGGAUGGUCGGCCACACUGGAACUGAGACACGGUCCAGACUCCUACGGGAGGCAGCAGUGGGGAAUAUUGGACAAUGGGCGCAAGCCUGAUCCAGCCAUACCGCGUGGGUGAAGAAGGCCUUCGGGUUGUAAAGCCCUUUUGUUGGGAAAGAAAAGCAGCAGGUUAAUACCCCGCUGUUCUGACGGUACCCAAAGAAUAAGCACCGGCUAACUUCGUG
This 492-nucleotide ribosomal RNA is filed under the name uncultured bacterium. Its description in RNAcentral is "partial 16S ribosomal RNA". It matches the Rfam family "Bacterial small subunit ribosomal RNA", at positions 29 to 507 of the family's 1533-position model. The record is from RNAcentral.